Molecule: ribosomal RNA, 939 nt
Filed under: uncultured bacterium
Lineage: Bacteria
Description: bacterial SSU rRNA
Rfam family: Bacterial small subunit ribosomal RNA
Source: RNAcentral
CAGUCGUACGUGAAAGUUCCGCAAGGAACGAGUAAAGUGGCGAACGGGUGAGUAAUACAUAGGUAAUCUACUUAUAAGUUCGGGAUAACAGUUCGAAAGGAUUGCUAAUACCGGAUAAUGUGCUUAGUCAAAAGAUUAAGCGCCAAAGGUGGCCUCUUCACAAUGCUAUCGAUUAUAAAUGAGCCUAUGGACCAUUAGUUAGUUGGCAGGGUAAUAGCCUACCAAGACAAAGAUGGUUAGCUGGUCUGAGAGGAUGACCAGCCACACUGGAACUGAAACACGGUCCAGACUCCUACGGGAGGCAGCAGUGGGGAAUAUUGCGCAAUGGGGGAAACCCUGACGCAGCAACGCCGUGUGAGCGAUGAAGGCCUUCGGGUUGUAAAGCUCUGUUAAAUAAGAAGAAACUCCCAUAUUCUAAUACAAUAUGGGAUUGACGGUAUUAUUAGAGAAAGCACCGGCUAACUCCGUGCCAGCAGCCGCGGUAAGACGGAGGGUGCAAGCGUUGUUCGGAAUUACUGGGCGUAAAGGGCGUGUAGGCGGUCUAAUAAGUUAGGUGUGAAAUCUUCAGGCUCAACCUGAAAAGUGCACUUAAAACUGUUAAACUAGAGAGUGGUAGGGGAAAGCGGAAUUCCUAGUGUAGAGGUGAAAUUCGUAGAUAUUAGGAAGAACACCGGCGACGAAGGCGGCUUUCUGGACCAUUUCUGACGCUGAGACGCGAAAGCGUGGGGAGCAAACAGGAUUAGAUACCCUGGUAGUCCACGCUGUAAACGAUGAACACUAAGUAUGGGGGGGAUUUUUUCUUUCUGUGCUCAAGCUAACGCGUUAAGUGUUCCGCCUGGGGAGUACGGUCGCAAGAUUAAAACUCGAAGGAAUUGACGGGGGCCCGCACAAGCGGUGGAUUAUGUGGAUUAAUUCGAUGCAACGCGAAAAACCUUACCU